GACGAACGCUGGCGGCGUGCUUAACACAUGCAAGUCGAACGGUAAGGCUCCAGCUUGCUGGGGUACACGAGUGGCGAACGGGUGAGUAACACGUGGGUGACCUGCCCUGCACUUCGGGAUAAGCCUGGGAAACUGGGUCUAAUACCGGAUAGGACCAUGGUGUGGAUACUGUGGUGGAAAGUUUUUUCGGUGUGGGCUGGGCCCGCGGCCUAUCAGCUUGUUGGUGGGGUAAUGGCCUACCAAGGCGGCGACGGGUAGCCGGCCUGGGAGGGUGGACGGCCACAUUGGGACUGAGACACGGCCCAGACUCCUACGGGAGGCAGCAGUGGGGAAUAUUGCACAAUGGGCGGAAGCCUGAUGCAGCGACGCCGCGUGGGGGAUGACGGCCUUCGGGUUGUAAACUCCUUUCGCCAUCGACGAAGGGUUUCUGACGGUAGAUGGAGAAGAAGCACCGGCUAACUACGUG
RNAcentral lists this ribosomal RNA (466 nucleotides) under uncultured bacterium. RNAcentral describes it as "partial 16S ribosomal RNA". It matches the Rfam family "Bacterial small subunit ribosomal RNA", at positions 28 to 507 of the family's 1533-position model. The record is from RNAcentral.